UGGGGAAUAUUGGACAAUGGGCGAAAGCCCGAUCCAGCCAUGCCGCGUGUGUGAAGAAGGCCUUUUGGUUGUAAAGCACUUUAAGUGGGGAGGAAAAGCUUAUGGUUAAUACCCAUAAGCCCUGACGUUACCCACAGAAUAAGCACCGGCUAACUCUGUGCCAGCAGCCGCGGUAAUACAGAGGGUGCAAGCGUUAAUCGGAAUUACUGGGCGUAAAGCGCGCGUAGGUGGUUAUUUAAGUCAGAUGUGAAAGCCCCGGGCUUAACCUGGGAACUGCAUCUGAUACUGGAUAACUAGAGUAGGUGAGAGGGGAGUAGAAUUCCAGGUGUAGCGGUGAAAUGCGUAGAGAUCUGGAGGAAUACCGAUGGCGAAGGCAGCUCCCUGGCAUCAUACUGACACUGAGGUGCGAAAGCGUGGGUAGCAAACAGGAUUAGAUACCCUGGUAGUCCACGCCGUAAACGAUGUCUACCAGUCGUUGGGUCUUUUAAAGACUUAGUGACGCAGUUAACGCAAUAAGUAGACCGCCUGGGGAGUACGGCCGCAAGGUUA
This 549-nucleotide ribosomal RNA is filed under the name uncultured bacterium. RNAcentral describes it as "bacterial SSU rRNA". It matches the Rfam family "Bacterial small subunit ribosomal RNA", at positions 355 to 896 of the family's 1533-position model. The record is from RNAcentral.